Molecule: ribosomal RNA, 253 nt
Filed under: uncultured bacterium
Lineage: Bacteria
Description: partial 16S ribosomal RNA
Rfam family: Bacterial small subunit ribosomal RNA
Source: RNAcentral
UACGGAAGGGGCUAGCGUUGUUCGGAAUUACUGGGCGUAAAGGGCGCGUAGGCGGCUAUGCAAGUCAGGCGUGAAAGCCCCGGGCUCAACCCGGGAAUUGCGCUUGAUACUGUGUGGCUUGAGUCCGGGAGAGGAUGGCGGAAUUCCCAGUGUAGAGGUGAAAUUCGUAGAUAUUGGGAAGAACACCGGUGGCGAAGGCGGCCAUCUGGACCGGUACUGACGCUGAGGCGCGAAAGCGUGGGGAGCAAACAGG